This 275-nucleotide ribosomal RNA is filed under the name uncultured bacterium. RNAcentral describes it as "partial 16S ribosomal RNA". It matches the Rfam family "Bacterial small subunit ribosomal RNA", at positions 399 to 691 of the family's 1533-position model. The record is from RNAcentral.
GCGUGAGUGAAGAAGGCCUUAGGGUUGUAAGACUCUUUCAGCGGGGACGAUGAUGACGGUACCCGCAGAAGAAGCCCCGGCUAACUCCGUGCCAGCAGCCGCGGUAAUACGGAGGGGGCUAGCGUUGCUCGGAAUUACUGGGCGUAAAGGGCGUGUAGGCGGGACAUCAAGUUAGGCGUGAAAGCCCCGGGCUCAACCCGGGAACUGCGCUUGAGACUGAUGACCUAGAGUCCGGGAGAGGGUGGUGGAAUUCCCAGUGUAGAGGUGAAAUUCGU